AUACAGAGGGUCCGAGCGUUAAUCGGAAUUACUGGGCGUAAAGCGCGCGUAGGCGGAUAUUUAAGUUAGAUGUGAAAGCCCCGGGCUUAACCUGGGAACUGCAUUUAAAACUGGCGAACUAGAGUUGAGUAGAGGGGAGUGGAAUUUCAGGUGUAGCGGUGAAAUGCGUAGAGAUCUGAAGGAACACCAGUGGCGAAGGCGACUCCCUGGACUCGAACUGACGCUGAGGUACGAAAGCGUGGGUAGCAAACGGGAUUAGAAACCCUAGUAGUCC
This 274-nucleotide ribosomal RNA is filed under the name uncultured bacterium. Its description in RNAcentral is "partial 16S ribosomal RNA". It matches the Rfam family "Bacterial small subunit ribosomal RNA", at positions 523 to 796 of the family's 1533-position model. The record is from RNAcentral.